UUCUACCAUAUGUUGAUGGCGUUAUUUCAGUCCACAAUCAAUUGUCAUACUUCCAUAAUUGAUUGUCAUAUAUCCAAAAUCGAUUGGCAUACUUCCAUAAUCGAUUUUCAGGACUUAAAAACGUUUUUGGCCUUGUCCACAAUCGAUUGUUAACAGGCACAAUCGAUUGUCCGUGUUUUUCUGAGUUUCUGUGAACUUUUUGUUUCUUGACAAUUUUUCAGAAACCAAGUGUCAAACAGUC
RNAcentral lists this long non-coding RNA (241 nucleotides) under Nicotiana benthamiana. RNAcentral's name for it is "long non-coding RNA (NBEN_LNC016766)". The record is from RNAcentral. Lineage: Eukaryota; Viridiplantae; Streptophyta; Magnoliopsida; Solanales; Solanaceae.